AACGACAAAAACCUGCUCAAAGAACAAGGAGCAACAACAAGAGAGAGCAACAGAGCUGGAAAUAACUAAAAAUCUAACUGAAACAAACUGUACAUAUACAAUUCCUAAAAAUCGAUACAAUUCAUAACCCAGCAGGAAAGUAAAAACAACAAUAUAUACAAAAAGUCUCUUCAAGAACUAAUAAAUAUAGGGUCCUCCUCCAAACCUGUCCACGGAUAAGAGAUAUCUAUACAACAAUUUCUUUACCUCGGUCUUAUGCAACAUGUACGAAUAUACUAGGCUCUGCAAUAAAAUAUCAACACAGCGGCGUGAAAACUACUAAAAACCAGUAGU
RNAcentral lists this long non-coding RNA (333 nucleotides) under Ananas comosus (pineapple). Its description in RNAcentral is "long non-coding RNA (ACOM_LNC013681)". The record is from RNAcentral. Lineage: Eukaryota; Viridiplantae; Streptophyta; Magnoliopsida; Poales; Bromeliaceae.